This 65-nucleotide non-coding RNA is filed under the name unclassified sequences. Its description in RNAcentral is "DUF3800-VIII RNA". It matches the Rfam family "DUF3800-VIII RNA". Rfam says of the family: Bacteroidetes, Cyanobacteria, Firmicutes, Planctomycetes (1 example), Proteobacteria, Tenericutes (1 example). Nearby to DUF3800 The record is from Rfam by way of RNAcentral.
AAGGCCCUGUCUCUCCGAAGUCCUAAGUUCCACUUAGGAUACUGAUGUAGGAGAGGCGGGGCCUU